Molecule: ribosomal RNA, 215 nt
Filed under: uncultured bacterium
Lineage: Bacteria
Description: partial 16S ribosomal RNA
Rfam family: Bacterial small subunit ribosomal RNA
Source: RNAcentral
GUCCAGUUCGGAUUGUAGUCUGCAACCCGACUACAUGAAGCCGGAAUCGCUAGUAAUCGCGGAUCAGAAUGCCGCGGUGAAUACGUUCCCGGGUCUUGUACACACCGCCCGUCACACCAUGGGAGUCGGAAAUGCCCGAAGUCUGUGACCCAACCGUAAGGAGGGAGCAGCCGAAGGCAGGUCGGAUGACUGGGGUGAAGUCGUAACAAGGUACC